This 253-nucleotide ribosomal RNA is filed under the name uncultured bacterium. RNAcentral's name for it is "partial 16S ribosomal RNA". It matches the Rfam family "Bacterial small subunit ribosomal RNA", at positions 524 to 776 of the family's 1533-position model. The record is from RNAcentral.
UACGAAGGGGGCUAGCGUUGCUCGGAAUCACUGGGCGUAAAGCGCACGUAGGCGGAUUGUUAAGUCAGGGGUGAAAUCCUGGAGCUCAACUCCAGAACUGCCUUUGAUACUGGCGAUCUCGAGACCGGAAGAGGUAAGUGGAACUGCGAGUGUAGAGGUGAAAUUCGUAGAUAUUCGCAAGAACACCAGUGGCGAAGGCGGCUUACUGGUCCGGUUCUGACGCUGAGGCGCGAAAGCGUGGGGAGCAAACAGG